UUUUUUUUUCUGAACAGGUGCAGAUUUCAUAACAAUUUUGGAGAGUGAUGCUUCUAAGCCCUAUAUGGGGAACAAUGACUUAACCAUGUGGUUAGGGGAGAAGCUGGGUUUCUAUACAGACUUUGGUCCAAGCACAAGGUAUCACACUUGGGGGAUUAUGGCUUUGUCAAGAUACCCAAUUGUGAAAUCGGAGCAUCACCUUCUUCCGUCACCAGAGGGCGAGAUCGCACCAGCCAUCACAUUGACCGUUAACAUUUCGGGCAAGCCAGUGGAUUUUGUCGUGACACACUUUGGGAACCACGAAGAUGACCUCGACAGGAAACUGCAGGCUAUUGCUGUUUCAAAACUACUGAAAAGUAGCUCGAAUCAAGUGAUAUUUCUGGGAUAUAUCACUUCAGCACCUGGCUCCAGAGAUUAUCUACAGCUCACUGAACAUGGCAAUGUGAAGGAUAUCGACAGCACUGAUCAUGACAGAUGGUGUGAAUACAUUAUGUAUCGAGGACUGAUCAGGUGAGCACAGGGGUUUGAUUUUGUUUUUAAUCUAUUAUUGCUGCAAUCUUUUGGGUCUAUCUG
Molecule: long non-coding RNA, 573 nt
Filed under: Rhinopithecus bieti (black snub-nosed monkey)
Lineage: Eukaryota; Metazoa; Chordata; Mammalia; Primates; Cercopithecidae
Description: lncRNA (ENSRBIG00000045318.1)
Source: RNAcentral